RNAcentral lists this transfer RNA (73 nucleotides) under Paramuricea clavata. It matches the Rfam family "tRNA". Rfam says of the family: Transfer RNA (tRNA) molecules are approximately 80 nucleotides in length. Their secondary structure includes four short double-helical elements and three loops (D, anti-codon, and T loops). Lineage: Eukaryota; Metazoa; Cnidaria; Anthozoa; Malacalcyonacea; Plexauridae. The record is from Rfam by way of RNAcentral.
GACCGCGUAGCUCAGUUGGAAGAGCAUUGGGCUGGUAUUCCAAAGGUCGUAGGUUUGAAUCCCACCGUGGCCG